This 164-nucleotide ribosomal RNA is filed under the name uncultured bacterium. Its description in RNAcentral is "partial 16S ribosomal RNA". It matches the Rfam family "Bacterial small subunit ribosomal RNA", at positions 355 to 511 of the family's 1533-position model. The record is from RNAcentral.
UAGGGAAUCUUCCACAAUGGGCGCAAGCCUGAUGGAGCAACACCGCGUGAGUGAAGAAGGGCUUCGGCUCGUAAAGCUCUGUUGUUAAAGAAGAACACGUAUGAGAGUAACUGUUCAUACGUUGACGGUAUUUAACCAGAAAGUCACGGCUAACUACGUGCCAG